Molecule: ribosomal RNA, 376 nt
Filed under: uncultured bacterium
Lineage: Bacteria
Description: bacterial SSU rRNA
Rfam family: Bacterial small subunit ribosomal RNA
Source: RNAcentral
UACGAAGGGUGCAAGCGUUGUUCGGAAUUAUUGGGCGUAAAGGGCGCGUAGGCGGGUUUAUAAGUCGACUGUGAAAACCCUGGGCUUAACCCGGGACGUGCAGUCGAUACUGUAAAUCUUGAAUGCUUGAGAGGGAGGCGGAAUUCCAGGUGUAGAAGUGAAAUUCGUAGAUAUCUGGAGGAACAUCCGAGGCGAAGGCGGCCUCCUGGCAAGACAUUGACGCUAAGGCGCGAAAGCGUGGGUAGCAAACAGGAUUAGAUACCCUGGUAGUCCACGCCGUAAACGAUGGAUACUAGAUGUUUGGAGAAUUAACCCUCUGAGUAUCAAAGCACACGCAUUAAGUAUCCCGCCUGGGGAGUACGGUCGCAAGACUAAA